RNAcentral lists this ribosomal RNA (311 nucleotides) under uncultured bacterium. RNAcentral describes it as "bacterial SSU rRNA". It matches the Rfam family "Bacterial small subunit ribosomal RNA", at positions 28 to 334 of the family's 1533-position model. The record is from RNAcentral.
GACGAACGCUGGCGGCGCGCCUAACACAUGCAAGUCGAACGAGAGAGAGGAAGCUUGCUUCCUUAAUCGAGUGGCGAACGGGUGAGUAACGCGUGAGGAACCUGCCUCAAAGAGGGGGACAACAGUUGGAAACGACUGCUAAUACCGCAUGAGACCACAGCUCUGCAUGGAGCAGUGGCUAAAGGAGAAAUCCGGUGAAGGGUGGGCUCGCGUCCGAUUAGCUAGUUGGCAGGGUGAUAGCCUACCAAGGCGACGAUCGGUAGCCGACCUGAGAGGGUGAUCGGCCACAUUGGAACUGAGAUACGGUCCAA